GCAGGCGUUCACUUUUUCUUUUUUUUCCCUUGACGAUACCUUAAAUAUGAUCACUGGGGAAGUUUUUCCCUCGGCAACCUACAACUUAAGCGAUCAGAGGAGGCUUUUAUCUAACGUGGUCUUUAAACAGACGAUCUUUCAUGCAAGAAAUAACAGUAUUAUGAGCCCAAUCCUAGCGCUCCUCCAGAAUCAAUUUUUUAUGCCUUCUUCGGCCUUUAAAAAAGGGCCUCGGCACCUCUUGUUCCAUUGUAAGAGAUGCUACAUUGUUUGCAUCAAUAGAAGUAAAGCACCAAUAAUGCUACAGCGGAAAGUUCUCUUCCUUUUUCUUCCAUUAGAACCGACUUUUCCAACUGCAGAUUUCUUUGGCAUAAAAGAUCCUAUAAUCGAAGAGUCGGCAGCCCAAAAGAUAGCUCGAGA
RNAcentral lists this long non-coding RNA (417 nucleotides) under Elaeis guineensis (African oil palm). Its description in RNAcentral is "long non-coding RNA (EGUI_LNC010380)". The record is from RNAcentral. Lineage: Eukaryota; Viridiplantae; Streptophyta; Magnoliopsida; Arecales; Arecaceae.